Molecule: ribosomal RNA, 468 nt
Filed under: uncultured bacterium
Lineage: Bacteria
Description: partial 16S ribosomal RNA
Rfam family: Bacterial small subunit ribosomal RNA
Source: RNAcentral
GACGAACGCUGGCGGCGUGCUUAACACAUGCAAGUCGAACGGAAAGGCCCUGCUUUUGUGGGGUGCUCGAGUGGCGAACGGGUGAGUAACACGUGAGUAACCUGCCCUUGACUUUGGGAUAACUUCAGGUAACUGGGGCUAAUACCGGAUAGGAGCUCCUGCUGCAUGGUGGGGGUUGGAAAGUUUCGGUGGUUGGGGAUGGACUCGCGGCUUAUUAGCUUGUUGGUGGGGUAGUGGCUUACCAAGGCUUUGAUGGGUAGCCGGCCUGAGAGGGUGACCGGCCACAUUGGAACUGAGAUACGGCCCAGACUCCUACGGGAGGCAGCAGUGGGGAAAAUUGCACAAUGGGGGGAAGCCUAAUGCAGCAACGCCGCGUGCGGGAUGAGGGCCUUCGGGUUGAAAACCGCUUUCGCCUGUGACGAAGCGUGAGUGACGGUAAUGGGUAAAGAAGCACCGGCUAACUACGUG